UUAAGCGACUAAGCGUACACGGUGGAUGCCCUGGCAGUCAGAGGCGAUGAAGGACGUGCUAAUCUGCGAUAAGCGUCGGUAAGGUGAUAUGAACCGUUAUAACCGGCGAUUUCCGAAUGGGGAAACCCAGUGUGAUUCGUCACACUAUCAUUAACUGAAUCCAUAGGUUAAUGAGGCGAACCGGGGGAACUGAAACAUCUAAGUACCCCGAGGAAAAGAAAUCAACCGAGAUUCCCCCAGUAGCGGCGAGCGAACGGGGAGCAGCCCAGAGCCUGAAUCAGUGUGUGUGUUAGUGGAAGCGUCUGGAAAGGCGCGCGAUACAGGGUGACAGCCCCGUACACAAAAAUGCACAUGCUGUGAGCUCGAUGAGUAGGGCGGGACACGUGGUAUCCUGUCUGAAUAUGGGGGGACCAUCCUCCAAGGCUAAAUACUCCUGACUGACCGAUAGUGAACCAGUACCGUGAGGGAAAGGCGAAAAGAACCCCGGCGAGGGGAGUGAAAAAGAACCUGAAACCGUGUACGUACAAGCAGUGGGAGCACAGAGCAAUCUGUGUGACUGCGUACCUUUUGUAUAAUGGGUCAGCGACUUAUAUUCUGUAGCAAGGUUAACCGAAUAGGGGAGCCGAAGGGAAACCGAGUCUUAACUGGGCGUUAAGUUGCAGGGUAUAGACCCGAAACCCGGUGAUCUAGCCAUGGGCAGGUUGAAGGUUGGGUAACACUAACUGGAGGACCGAACCGACUAAUGUUGAAAAAUUAGCGGAUGACUUGUGGCUGGGGGUGAAAGGCCAAUCAAACCGGGAGAUAGCUGGUUCUCCCCGAAAGCUAUUUAGGUAGCGCCUCGUGAAUUCAUCUCCGGGGUAGAGCACUGUUUCGGCAAGGGGGUCAUCCCGACUUACCAACCCGAUGCAAACUGCGAAUACCGGAGAAUGUUAUCACGGGAGACACACGGCGGGUGCUAACGUCCGUCGUGAAGAGGGAAACAACCCAGACCGCCAGCUAAGGUCCCAAAGUCAUGGUUAAGUGGGAAACGAUGUGGGAAGGCCCAGACAGCCAGGAUGUUGGCUUAGAAGCAGCCAUCAUUUAAAGAAAGCGUAAUAGCUCACUGGUCGAGUCGGCCUGCGCGGAAGAUGUAACGGGGCUAAACCAUGCACCGAAGCUGCGGCAGCGACACUAUGUGUUGUUGGGUAGGGGAGCGUUCUGUAAGCCUGUGAAGGUGUACUGUGAGGUAUGCUGGAGGUAUCAGAAGUGCGAAUGCUGACAUAAGUAACGAUAAAGCGGGUGAAAAGCCCGCUCGCCGGAAGACCAAGGGUUCCUGUCCAACGUUAAUCGGGGCAGGGUGAGUCGACCCCUAAGGCGAGGCCGAAAGGCGUAGUCGAUGGGAAACAGGUUAAUAUUCCUGUACUUGGUGUUACUGCGAAGGGGGGACGGAGAAGGCUAUGUUGGCCGGGCGACGGUUGUCCCGGUUUAAGCGUGUAGGCUGGUUUUCCAGGCAAAUCCGGAAAAUCAAGGCUGAGGCGUGAUGACGAGGCACUACGGUGCUGAAGCAACAAAUGCCCUGCUUCCAGGAAAAGCCUCUAAGCAUCAGGUAACAUCAAAUCGUACCCCAAACCGACACAGGUGGUCAGGUAGAGAAUACCAAGGCGCUUGAGAGAACUCGGGUGAAGGAACUAGGCAAAAUGGUGCCGUAACUUCGGGAGAAGGCACGCUGAUAUGUAGGUGAAGUCCCUCGCGGAUGGAGCUGAAAUCAGUCGAAGAUACCAGCUGGCUGCAACUGUUUAUUAAAAACACAGCACUGUGCAAACACGAAAGUGGACGUAUACGGUGUGACGCCUGCCCGGUGCCGGAAGGUUAAUUGAUGGGGUCAGCGCAAGCGAAGCUCUUGAUCGAAGCCCCGGUAAACGGCGGCCGUAACUAUAACGGUCCUAAGGUAGCGAAAUUCCUUGUCGGGUAAGUUCCGACCUGCACGAAUGGCGUAAUGAUGGCCAGGCUGUCUCCACCCGAGACUCAGUGAAAUUGAACUCGCUGUGAAGAUGCAGUGUACCCGCGGCAAGACGGAAAGACCCCGUGAACCUUUACUAUAGCUUGACACUGAACAUUGAGCCUUGAUGUGUAGGAUAGGUGGGAGGCUUUGAAGUGUGGACGCCAGUCUGCAUGGAGCCGACCUUGAAAUACCACCCUUUAAUGUUUGAUGUUCUAACGUUGACCCGUAAUCCGGGUUGCGGACAGUGUCUGGUGGGUAGUUUGACUGGGGCGGUCUCCUCCUAAAGAGUAACGGAGGAGCACGAAGGUUGGCUAAUCCUGGUCGGACAUCAGGAGGUUAGUGCAAUGGCAUAAGCCAGCUUGACUGCGAGCGUGACGGCGCGAGCAGGUGCGAAAGCAGGUCAUAGUGAUCCGGUGGUUCUGAAUGGAAGGGCCAUCGCUCAACGGAUAAAAGGUACUCCGGGGAUAACAGGCUGAUACCGCCCAAGAGUUCAUAUCGACGGCGGUGUUUGGCACCUCGAUGUCGGCUCAUCACAUCCUGGGGCUGAAGUAGGUCCCAAGGGUAUGGCUGUUCGCCAUUUAAAGUGGUACGCGAGCUGGGUUUAGAACGUCGUGAGACAGUUCGGUCCCUAUCUGCCGUGGGCGCUGGAGAACUGAGGGGGGCUGCUCCUAGUACGAGAGGACCGGAGUGGACGCAUCACUGGUGUUCGGGUUGUCAUGCCAAUGGCACUGCCCGGUAGCUAAAUGCGGAAGAGAUAAGUGCUGAAAGCAUCUAAGCACGAAACUUGCCCCGAGAUGAGUUCUCCCUGACUCCUUGAGAGUCCUGAAGGAACGUUGAAGACGACGACGUUGAUAGGCCGGGUGUGUAAGCGCAGCGAUGCGUUGAGCUAACCGGUACUAAUGAACCGUGAGGCUUAACCU
This 2901-nucleotide ribosomal RNA is filed under the name Escherichia coli. RNAcentral's name for it is "23S ribosomal RNA". It matches the Rfam family "Bacterial large subunit ribosomal RNA". Lineage: Bacteria; Pseudomonadati; Pseudomonadota; Gammaproteobacteria; Enterobacterales; Enterobacteriaceae. The record is from RNAcentral.